RNAcentral lists this small RNA (343 nucleotides) under Histoplasma ohiense. RNAcentral's name for it is "hypothetical lncRNA". The record is from RNAcentral. Lineage: Eukaryota; Fungi; Ascomycota; Eurotiomycetes; Onygenales; Ajellomycetaceae.
CCCUCCUAUUUGCCCUCAGUCUAAUAUCCCUCCGUUGCCAUGGCCCCUGCAAGACUCGAUGAGGUCUCGUGUGAUGUGACACGCGACGGUGCUGCCCUCGACAAGAUGUCGGAUGACGUUGACACUGUCAAUGUCUUGAAAGCAGAACUGAAGGACUCCGCUGCAUGUGAUGAGCCCAAGUUUGGAGCUGACAAGGACAAGUCCAAGUUCCGCCAAUACGAGACUGCCUGCGAAAGGGUCAAGGCUUUCUAUCGAGAGCAACACGAAAAACAAACAGUCGCCUACAAUCUGAAAGCCCGGAAUGACUUCCGGUCCAGAGUACGGGCUGAAAUGACAGUUUGGG